CCUUGUUUUAUACCACGGUGAAGACUGUAGGUUUCUGAGAUCCAGCCGUUAUUAGACAGGCAUCCUUUAGUAUCAUUGUAUAACGUUUUAACCCAUUUUAAGAAGGAGUGUGGUAUUCCAAAUUUUAGUAGAGAUUCAUACAUGAAGGGCCAUUCUAAAGAAUCAAAGGCUUUGGAAAAGUCUAUGAACAAUAAAACCCCAUCUAUAUUAAAUUUUUCUGAGUAGUCUAUAAUAUCUUGAAUCUGGCGAAUGUUAAAACCUAUGUACCGAUUUUUUAUAUAUCCAUUCUGAUCGCUAUGAAUAAUUUUGGACAACACCAUCUUUAAUCUUUGCGCUAAGGCAUAGGCCAUAAGCUUAGUGUCUACAUUUAAUAAAGUGAUUGGCCUGUAGUUAUCUAAUGAUAAUGGAUCAUUUUUUUUAUAUAAUAAGGAGAUAACACCUAUUUUUUGGAGAGUUGUCAUUUCUUCUUUUUCAUAACAUGUAUUAAAUACUUUCACUGCAGAUUCUUUUAGGUAUGACCAAAAUGUUCGAUAAAAUUCUACACUGAGACCAUCUAGUCCAGGGGAUUUAUUUAGUUUCAUGUUAAAUAUAGCAUUUGUACAUUCUUCUAAUGUUAGGUUGCCCCCCAAUAGUUCACUGUCACUAUUGGAUAGUGAGUGAUCUAUCUUUGUUUGACUAAUAUAAUUUUUUAUUUCUGAAGGGUCCGGUUUAGUACUUUUAUACAAAUUUUGGUAGUAAUUUUUCCCUAGAAUAAGAAUAUCCGACGCGUCUGUAACAAUAUUACCAUGGUCAUUUCUAAGGGCGGAAAUGGUUUUCUUGGUUUGUCUUGAUUUUUCAAGACCCAAAAAAUAUUUUGUGUUUUUUUCCCUUCCUUCUGCCCAUCUGACUCGGGAUCUAAUUUGUGCACCUCUAGUUUCUUUUACAUAUAAAUUUUGUAAAUUGUUUUCUACAUUAUUUAUUUCUUUUUUAAGAUGUUGAGAAUUACUUGAUUUUUCAUUUAAGAAUUUUAACUUAUUUUCUAAAUGUUUAAUUUCAUUUUUACUUUCAGCAGCCUUUUGUUUGCAGUAUGCAAUGGUUACCUCCCUUACUUCAGUUUUGAAAAUGUCCCAAGUAACUCGAGGAUCAUUAUUUUUGGUGAGUAUUUUUUCUUGAUGAGUAUCAAUUAGUUUAAUUAUUAUUUCUUUGUAUUUUGUAUCAUUCAGUAUGCUGUUAUUUAUCUUAAAGAAUCCUUUGCCUUUAUUUUGAGCUUUAAGUCUUAUUUGUACAGAGAUUGCUUGAUGAUCUGUAUGUGAUAUUAGUGCAGGUCUUAUGUCUGCUGAUAUUAUGUGAGGUCUUAUAUCUGGGCUUAUUAGAAAGAAAUCAAUUCUGCUUGCAACACUUCUAUUGUUUUUUCUUCUCCAUGUAAAUUGACUGCUGUUUUGAUUUAGUUCUCUCCAAAUAUCAAUAAGUUUAUAUUUUUUUAUAAGUUGCUUUAAACUGUUAACAGGUUUAUUUUGAUUAUUAGGGCU
Molecule: long non-coding RNA, 1508 nt
Filed under: Mytilus galloprovincialis (Mediterranean mussel)
Lineage: Eukaryota; Metazoa; Mollusca; Bivalvia; Mytilida; Mytilidae
Source: RNAcentral